AGUGGUCGCUCGUUACGGAAGUCCUCCCCUGCAUUCAAUUGAAUAUCACCGCUGAGAGAGAACUGAACUCAUUCCUUUUGUAUGCAAGCAAAGAACCUCACAACUACACCACAGAUGCGUGUGAAAUGAAACACCCAACAAAAAGGCUGAAAAUAGUCGAAGGACAACAGGGAAGAGCGGUCGCCAAGCGGAGGAAAAAAUAUCUGGAGUUUUGGGAUGCAUCAAUUGAGAACCGAAAAAUGUGGAUCUAGAACAUUUCCAGAACUGUGAGCUUGGGACUGAAUUUUGUCAGCACCAGUCUACGUAAAGCCAGCAAGUUCCGCUCCACGCUCGUCCCAAUGCCCACGAAAGACCAAACGCUAGGGGACAAGAGCAGCUUAAAGCCUGCAAACAGAAGAGAGAUCCAGGUUGUGAAGUCAACUGCCCUUGUUGCCGUGGUAUUUGUUAUCACCAACACCCCUACAGUCAUGAUAUCUUUUGCCCGGAGAUUCGUCCCAAGUUUCAACCUGUUCAAACGGUACCACAGAAUAUAUAUCAGUUCGAACGUAAUACGGAACCUGUUUGAAUUCUGUGGUGCAUCAUUCAACAUUUUCAUCUAUCUAAAUUUUAACAAAAAAUUUAAGGAUACUUUCACAGCCACAUUUAGAAAGUCUUAUUUAAAGUAAUUUGGUGUGGUGAAUCGCAGUAUUUUUACCCUUUAAUAAAGACUUAGGAAACCAAUAGAGUUAUUGAAAACUUUUCGUAUGAAGGAUUGUGUUUUUGUGAUCGAAAUACCCC
Molecule: long non-coding RNA, 777 nt
Organism: Aplysia californica (California sea hare)
Lineage: Eukaryota; Metazoa; Mollusca; Gastropoda; Aplysiida; Aplysiidae
Exons: 3
Source: RefSeq, a predicted model, not a curated record